Lathyrus oleraceus (garden pea) is the source of this 549-nucleotide long non-coding RNA. RefSeq lists it as uncharacterized. The record is from RefSeq and is a predicted model, not a curated record. The transcript has 5 exons. Lineage: Eukaryota; Viridiplantae; Streptophyta; Magnoliopsida; Fabales; Fabaceae.
UCUUCAUUUCUUCGGAUAUUGAUGAUGACGGUGAUUUUUCCGAUCCGUUUGAUAUUGCUAGAACAAAGCACGCUUCUAUUAAUCGACUGAAACGCUGGAGACAAGCAGCGCUUGUACUAAAUGCUUCCCGUCGAUUUCGUUAUACCUUGGAUUUGAAGAAAGAAGAAGAGAAGAAACUAAUACUGAGAAAGAUUAGAGCGCAUGCACAAGCCAUUAGAGCAACAUAUCUUUUCAAAGCAGCUGGGGGGCAGGGGCAGAGGCAGGGACAAGGGCAAGGACAAUUGAAUGAAACUACAAAACCUCUUCAAACCUCUACUGGUGAAUUUCCAAUUGGACCGGAGCAACUAGCUUCCAUUUCAAGGGAGCAUGAUAUUGCCUCAUUGCAGCAAUAUGGAGGGGUUGCAGGGGUAUCAAAUUUAUUGAAAACUGAUUUAGAGAAGGGAGUUGAUGGUGAUGAUGCUGACUUACUAAGACGGAGGAAUGCAUUUGGUUCCAACAAUUACCCUCGAAAGAAAGGAAGAAGUUUUCUGGUAACUUCUAUUGUUCUUG